UUGUUUGCGGAUGUAGCAUAAUCAAGAUUCACAUGCAAAGGGCAAACUGGUUAUAUAAUUGAUGACAAUUAGUUAUGGCCAUGGCUAUUCGUUAGUGAGAAUCUUGAUGAUGCUGCAUCAGCAAUAAA
Capsicum annuum is the source of this 128-nucleotide non-coding RNA. NCBI's taxonomy places the organism in Eukaryota, Viridiplantae, Streptophyta, Magnoliopsida, Solanales, Solanaceae. The record is from Rfam.